Molecule: ribosomal RNA, 253 nt
Filed under: uncultured bacterium
Lineage: Bacteria
Description: partial 16S ribosomal RNA
Rfam family: Bacterial small subunit ribosomal RNA
Source: RNAcentral
UACGAAGGGGGCUAGCGUUGCUCGGAAUCACUGGGCGUAAAGCGCACGUAGGCGGCUUUUUAAGUCAGGGGUGAAAUCCUGGAGCUCAACUCCAGAACUGCCUUUGAUACUGAGAAGCUUGAGUCCGGGAGAGGUGAGUGGAACUGCGAGUGUAGAGGUGAAAUUCGUAGAUAUUCGCAAGAACACCAGUGGCGAAGGCGAGUCUCUGGACAUUUCCUGACGCUGAGGCACGAAAGCCAGGGGAGCAAACGGG